UUAAAUUGAAGAGUUUGAUCAUGGCUCAGAUUGAACGCUGGCGGCAGGCCUAACACAUGCAAGUCGAACGGUAACAGGAAGAAGCUUGCUUCUUUGCUGACGAGUGGCGGACGGGUGAGUAAUGUCUGGGAAACUGCCUGAUGGAGGGGGAUAACUACUGGAAACGGUAGCUAAUACCGCAUAACGUCGCAAGACCAAAGAGGGGGACCUUCGGGCCUCUUGCCAUCGGAUGUGCCCAGAUGGGAUUAGCUAGUAGGUGGGGUAACGGCUCGCCUAGGCGACGAUCCCUAGCUGGUCUGAGAGGAUGACCAGCCACACUGGAACUGAGACACGGUCCAGACUCCUACGGGAGGCAGCAGUGGGGAAUAUUGCACAAUGGGCGCAAGCCUGAUGCAGCCAUGCCGCGUGUAUGAAGAAGGCCUUCGGGUUGUAAAGUACUUUCAGCGGGGAGGAAGGGAGUAAAGUUAAUACCUUUGCUCAUUGACGUUACCCGCAGAAGAAGCACCGGCUAACUCCGUGCCAGCAGCCGCGGUAAUACGGAGGGUGCAAGCGUUAAUCGGAAUUACUGGGCGUAAAGCGCACGCAGGCGGUUUGUUAAGUCAGAUGUGAAAUCCCCGGGCUCAACCUGGGAACUGCAUCUGAUACUGGCAAGCUUGAGUCUCGUAGAGGGGGGUAGAAUUCCAGGUGUAGCGGUGAAAUGCGUAGAGAUCUGGAGGAAUACCGGUGGCGAAGGCGGCCCCCUGGACGAAGACUGACGCUCAGGUGCGAAAGCGUGGGGAGCAAACAGGAUUAGAUACCCUGGUAGUCCACGCCGUAAACGAUGUCGACUUGGAGGUUGUGCCCUUGAGGCGUGGCUUCCGGAGCUAACGCGUUAAGUCGACCGCCUGGGGAGUACGGCCGCAAGGUUAAAACUCAAAUGAAUUGACGGGGGCCCGCACAAGCGGUGGAGCAUGUGGUUUAAUUCGAUGCAACGCGAAGAACCUUACCUGGUCUUGACAUCCACGGAAGUUUUCAGAGAUGAGAAUGUGCCUUCGGGAACCGUGAGACAGGUGCUGCAUGGCUGUCGUCAGCUCGUGUUGUGAAAUGUUGGGUUAAGUCCCGCAACGAGCGCAACCCUUAUCCUUUGUUGCCAGCGGUCCGGCCGGGAACUCAAAGGAGACUGCCAGUGAUAAACUGGAGGAAGGUGGGGAUGACGUCAAGUCAUCAUGGCCCUUACGACCAGGGCUACACACGUGCUACAAUGGCGCAUACAAAGAGAAGCGACCUCGCGAGAGCAAGCGGACCUCAUAAAGUGCGUCGUAGUCCGGAUUGGAGUCUGCAACUCGACUCCAUGAAGUCGGAAUCGCUAGUAAUCGUGGAUCAGAAUGCCACGGUGAAUACGUUCCCGGGCCUUGUACACACCGCCCGUCACACCAUGGGAGUGGGUUGCAAAAGAAGUAGGUAGCUUAACCUUCGGGAGGGCGCUUACCACUUUGUGAUUCAUGACUGGGGUGAAGUCGUAACAAGGUAACCGUAGGGGAACCUGCGGUUGGAUCACCUCCUUACCUUAAAGAAGC
RNAcentral lists this ribosomal RNA (1556 nucleotides) under Escherichia coli. RNAcentral describes it as "bacterial SSU rRNA". It matches the Rfam family "Bacterial small subunit ribosomal RNA". Lineage: Bacteria; Pseudomonadati; Pseudomonadota; Gammaproteobacteria; Enterobacterales; Enterobacteriaceae. The record is from RNAcentral.